UGGCCCACACUUACAUCACUUGC
This 23-nucleotide microRNA is filed under the name Blattella germanica (German cockroach). Its description in RNAcentral is "Bge-Novel-1-P1_3p* (star (passenger))". The record is from RNAcentral. Lineage: Eukaryota; Metazoa; Arthropoda; Insecta; Blattodea; Blattellidae.